RNAcentral lists this non-coding RNA (68 nucleotides) under Eubacteriales bacterium. Lineage: Bacteria; Bacillati; Bacillota; Clostridia; Eubacteriales. The record is from RNAcentral.
AGCCGAAACGGCCCCGCGCGGGCCGUCCGCCGGGAAUGGCCGCCCGGCGCUGAUGAUGGCAGGCCGCA